CUGAUGCAGCGACGCCGCGUGAGGGAUGACGGCCUUCGGGUUGUAAACCUCUUUCAGCAGGGAAGAAGCGAAAGUGACGGUACCUGCAGAAGAAGCACCGGCUAACUACGUGCCAGCAGCCGCGGUAAUACGUAGGGUGCGAGCGUUGUCCGGAAUUAUUGGGCGUAAAGAGCUUGUAGGCGGUUUGUCGCGUCUGCUGUGAAAAUCCGGGGCUCAACCCCGGACUUGCAGUGGGUACGGGCAGACUAGAGUGUGGUAGGGGAGACUGGAAUUCCUGGUGUAGCGGUGAAAUGCGCAGAUAUCAGGAGGAACACCGAUGGCGAACGCAGGUCUCUGGGCCACUACUGACGCUGAGAAACGAAAGCA
RNAcentral lists this ribosomal RNA (366 nucleotides) under uncultured Janibacter sp. RNAcentral describes it as "bacterial SSU rRNA". It matches the Rfam family "Bacterial small subunit ribosomal RNA", at positions 383 to 761 of the family's 1533-position model. Lineage: Bacteria; Bacillati; Actinomycetota; Actinomycetes; Micrococcales; Intrasporangiaceae. The record is from RNAcentral.